CAGCCGCCGCGGUAAUACGUAGGGUGCAAGCGUUAAUCGGAAUUACUGGGCGUAAAGCGUGCGCAGGCGGUUAUAUAAGACAGAUGUGAAAUCACCGGGCUCAACCUGGGAACUGCAUUUGUGACUGUAUAGCUAGAGUACGGCAGAGGGGGAUGGAAUUCCGCGUGUAGCAGUGAAAUGCGUAGAUAUGCGGAGGAACACCGAUGGCGAAGGCAAUCCCCUGGGCCUGUACUGACGCUCAUGCACGAAAGCGUGGGGAGCAAACAGGAUUAGAUACCCGCGUAGUCCCUGUCUCUUAUAU
This 301-nucleotide ribosomal RNA is filed under the name uncultured bacterium. RNAcentral's name for it is "partial 16S ribosomal RNA". It matches the Rfam family "Bacterial small subunit ribosomal RNA", at positions 509 to 809 of the family's 1533-position model. The record is from RNAcentral.